AUCAACUUUCGAUGGUAGGAUAGAGGCCUACCAUGGUGGUAACGGGUAACGGGGUGUUAGGGCACGACACCGGAGAGGGAGCCUGAGAAACGGCUACCACAUCCAAGGAUGGCAGCAGGCGCGCAAAUUACCCAAUCCCGACACGGGGAGGUAGUGACAAUAAAUAACAAUACGGGGUUCUUUAGGAUCUCGUAAUUGGAAUGAGUACAAUUUAAAUCCCUUAACGAGGAACAAUUGGAGGGCAAGUCUGGUGCCAGCAGCCGCGGUAAUUCCAGCUCCAAUAGCGUAUAUUAAAGUUGUUGCAGUUAAAAAGCUCGUAGUUGAAUUUCGGGGUUAGUAGGUUGGUCAUGCCUCUGGUAUGUACUGGUCUCACUGAUUCCUCCUUCCUGAUGAACCUUAAUGCCAUUAAUUUGGUGUUUUGGGGAAUUUGGACUGUUACUUUGAAAAAAUUAGAGUGUUUAAAGCAAGCUAACGCUUGAAUACAUUAGCAUGGAAUAAUGAAAUAGGACGUUCGAUCCUAUUUUGUUGGUUUCUAGGAUUGACGUAAUGAUUAAUAGGGAUAGUUGGGGGCAUUAGUAUUCAAUUGUCAGAGGUGAAAUUCUUGGAUUUAUUGAAGACUAACUACUGCGAAAGCAUUUGCCAAGGAUGUUUUCAUUAAUCAAGAACGAAAGUUAGGGGAUCGAAGACGAUCAGAUACCGUCGUAGUCUUAACCAUAAACUAUGCCGACUAGGGAUCGGAUGAUGUUAAUUUUUUAAUGACUCAUUCGGCGCCUUACGGGAAACCAAAGUGUUUGGGUUC
Molecule: ribosomal RNA, 799 nt
Filed under: uncultured Glomeromycotina
Lineage: Eukaryota; Fungi; Glomeromycota
Description: SSU rRNA
Rfam family: Eukaryotic small subunit ribosomal RNA
Source: RNAcentral